Non-coding RNA from Arachis ipaensis, 1870 nucleotides. NCBI's taxonomy places the organism in Eukaryota, Viridiplantae, Streptophyta, Magnoliopsida, Fabales, Fabaceae. The record is from RefSeq and is a predicted model, not a curated record.
GAAUUGUUGAAUGAGUUGUGUUGGUGGAGUCUUUGGGAUCUUUGUAGUAUUUUACCAAGAUUGAAUCUGAAUCCACUAGUAUAAAUUUAUAAAAUUGUCUAGUUUUAUUUGUGGUUGUUGGUCUAAACUAAAAUCCUUGGAAAAAAGCCUUAGAGAUUACCUUAAAAGGUGAUUUUUCCAAGAAUUCUGCUUCCAUCAAAAUAACAGAUAAAAAAUUAUUUUGAAAUGUAUGUGAAUUGUGGUUUUAAUUGGGUAUUUGGGGGCUGAGUUUGCUCAAUCGAUUAGGGUAAUUUGGUUUGGAUAAUUGCUUUUCCUUUUAGAUCAUUGCAAACGGUUUUUUUACUUGCGACUUGGGUUAAAAGUUUUGCCAGAUCUAUUUCGUCAUCAUUUGAGCUGUCAUAUAUACCCGCCUAAGAAGAGAGCUCGAGGAAGGAGACGCCACCUUGCUGCCAGCUCCGUCGAAGACCAGCCUACCGCCGCUGUCGAGUCAAACCCAAGAGAGAGAGAGAGUGUGUGCGACGAUGAGAGAGGAGGAGCCGUCACCAAAUGCGUCGCCGCAGCUGGAGGAGCUUCGCUCUUCGCCGUCGCCGAGGAGGGGAAAGAGGAGCUGCUCCCGUCGCGCCAGUCACCGUCGUGCUUCCUGGUUGCCGAUGAGGGAGCCGCGAGAACCGUUGCCGUCGCGGAGGAGGGGGACGCGCGAGAGGGAGCCGUCAGUGUGGUCGCCGUCGCCGCUGUUGAAAAAUCGAAGUUUUGUGGAUUUGACAAGGAAGGGAACCGAUGGAAGGAGAGAACCGCAGGUACCGUCAAGUUCCCGAAGAACAAGGUUACUAGCAAGAACAAGAUCAUUGCUGAGUGUGGUUCUUUAGCUAUAAGCACUCCAAAUCAUUGAAAAAGCCUCAGGUGCCUUCUUCCCGUAUUUGCAGAACUUCUCUCAAGAGCGACAAAAGCUUGAGGAGUAUCGCAUGAACCAGAAAUCCACUGAUUCAAUGUACAAGGUUUCCAUUGGAGCAGCUUGUAAUCUUUCUUGGCCUGCUGACCAUCUCGUGAUCCAAAUCCUAGAUGAUUCUACGUCCCGUGGUUAAACAAAUGGUGGAAAUGGAAUGUCAGAGAUGGGCGAGCAAAGGGAUAAACAUAACGUACCAAAUAAGAGAGAACAGAACGGGGUACAAAGUGGGUGCACUCAAAGAAGGUCUAAAACGUAGCUACGUGAAGCACUGUGAGUACGUGGCAUCUUCGAUGCUGAUUUCAGGCCUGAGCCUGAUUUCCUCCGUAGAGUGGUUCCUUUCUUGAUUGGCAACCCUGACAUCGCUCUUGUUCAAGCUCGUUGGAGAUUUGCGAUAUUUCUGUCAUUGCAAAGAUAGAAAGUACGGAAUCGCUGAAGAACUUGGAGGAGAUCAUUCAAGCAACAUCUCGUCUUAAUGCAAACUAUGAAAAAGAGACGUACAAAAGGUAUAAUGUAAAAGAUUGUUUGGGAGUUGGAAAGACUGCAAACUUUGAUGAGCUGAUGGCUAUUGCGGCUACGGAAGGUGGCGAAAAUGGAGACUUUGAUGAGCUGAUGAGCUGAUGGCUGCUGCGGCUACCAAAGGUGGCGAAAAUGGAGACGUAGAAGAAAACAAUGCAUGAGGGUUAUGGAAAUUACUCGUGAAUUGGGUGACGACAUUUUGUACUAUUUAAAGAGUUUCAUUUUUGUCGUUAGUUGGUAGAGGACAAGCAUAGAAUUCAUUAUAUAUAAUGUGACUUGCAAUUUUAAACUCUUUAAUUCAUUCUGUUCUUUUAUCCAUAUAGAGUGUCCUAGUGUUUUCUUUUUCAGUGGGACUAAUAUAUGGAGAUGAUGCAUUUGGUCAUUUGAUUAUUUAUAUGCUUUUGUGAA